This 116-nucleotide ribosomal RNA is filed under the name Pteropus alecto (black flying fox). The record is from RNAcentral. RNAcentral also lists the same sequence under 1 other name. Lineage: Eukaryota; Metazoa; Chordata; Mammalia; Chiroptera; Pteropodidae.
GUCUACGGCCAUGUCACCCUGAACAAGCCUGAUGUCUGAUCUCGGAAGCUAAGCAGGGUUGGGCCUGGUUAGUACUUGAAUGAGAGACCACCUAGGAAGACCAGGUGCUGUAGGCA